This 728-nucleotide ribosomal RNA is filed under the name uncultured bacterium. Its description in RNAcentral is "SSU rRNA". It matches the Rfam family "Bacterial small subunit ribosomal RNA", at positions 505 to 1241 of the family's 1533-position model. The record is from RNAcentral.
GUGCCAGCAGCCGCGGUAAUACGGAGGGUCCGAGCGUUAUCCGGAAUCAUUGGGUUUAAAGGGUCCGCAGGCGGUCAAUUAAGUCAGAGGUGAAAUCCCAUAGCUUAACUAUGGAACUGCCUUUGAUACUGGUUGACUUGAGUCAUAUGGAAGUAGAUAGAAUGUGUAGUGUAGCGGUGAAAUGCAUAGAUAUUACACAGAAUACCGAUUGCGAAGGCAGUCUACUACGUAUGUACUGACGCUGAGGGACGAAAGCGUGGGGAGCGAACAGGAUUAGAUACCCUGGUAGUCCACGCCGUAAACGAUGGAUACUAGUUGUUGGGCAUUAGCUCAGUGACUAAGCGAAAGUGAUAAGUAUCCCACCUGGGGAGUACGGUCGCAAGACUGAAACUCAAAGGAAUUGACGGGGGCCCGCACAAGCGGUGGAGCAUGUGGUUUAAUUCGAUGAUACGCGAGGAACCUUACCAGGGCUUAAAUGUAGUCUGACAGCUUUAGAGAUAGAGUUUUCUUCGGACAGAUUACAAGGUGCUGCAUGGUUGUCGUCAGCUCGUGCCGUGAGGUGUCAGGUUAAGUCCUAUAACGAGCGCAACCCCUGUCAUUAGUUGCCAGCAUGUAAAGAUGGGGACUCUAAUGAGACUGCCGGUGCAAACCGCGAGGAAGGUGGGGAUGACGUCAAAUCAUCACGGCCCUUACGUCCUGGCCACACACGUGCUACAAUGGUAUGGACA